CCUACGGGAGGCAGCAGUGGGGAAUUUUGGACAAUGGGCGCAAGCCUGAUCCAGCAAUGCCGCGUGAGUGAAGAAGGCCUUCGGGUUGUAAAGCUCUUUUGUCAGGGAAGAAACGGCUGAGGAUAAUACCUUCGGCUAAUGACGGUACCUGAAGAAUAAGCACCGGCUAACUACGUGCCAGCAGCCGCGGUAAUACGUAGGGUGCAAGCGUUAAUCGGAAUUACUGGGCGUAAAGCGUGCGCAGGCGGUUUUGUAAGUCUGUCGUGAAAGCCCCGGGCUCAACCUGGGAAUUGCGAUGGAGACUGCAAGGCUUGAAUCUGGCAGAGGGGGGUAGAAUUCCACGUGUAGCAGUGAAAUGCGUAGAGAUGUGGAGGAACACCGAUGGCGAAGGCAGCCCCCUGGGUCAAGAUUGACGCUCAUGCACGAAAGCGUGGGGAGCAAACAGGAUUAGAUACCCUGGUAGUCCACGCCCUAAACGAUGUCUACUAGUUGUCGGGUUUUAAUUAACUUGGUAACGCAGCUAACGCGUGAAGUAGACCGCCUGGGGAUACGGUCGCAAGNUUAAAACUCAAAGAGUAGUGACGNGNGAGAGACGACGACGACGACGACGGAGGAGGAGG
RNAcentral lists this ribosomal RNA (620 nucleotides) under uncultured bacterium. RNAcentral's name for it is "bacterial SSU rRNA". It matches the Rfam family "Bacterial small subunit ribosomal RNA", at positions 338 to 951 of the family's 1533-position model. The record is from RNAcentral.